UACGUAGGUGACCAGCGUUGUCCGGAUUUACUGGGCGUAAAGAGCGCGCAGGCGGUCGUUCAAGUCGAGUGUGAAAGCCCCCGGCUCAACUGGGGAGGGUCACGCGAUACUGAUCGACUGGAAGGCAGGAGAGGGUAGUGGAAUUCCCGGUGUAGCGGUGAAAUGCGUAGAGAUCAGGAAGAACAUCGGUGGCGAAGGCGCUCUGCUGGACCAUAACUGACACUCAGGGACGAAAGCUAGGGGAGCGAAUGGG
This 253-nucleotide ribosomal RNA is filed under the name uncultured bacterium. Its description in RNAcentral is "partial 16S ribosomal RNA". It matches the Rfam family "Bacterial small subunit ribosomal RNA", at positions 524 to 776 of the family's 1533-position model. The record is from RNAcentral.